AAUAGAUACCCUGGUAGUCCACGCCGUAAACGAUGUCGACUUGGAGGUUGUUCCCUUGAGGAGUGGCUCCCGGAGCUAACGCGUUAAGUCGACCGCCUGGGGAGUACGGCCGCAAGGUUAAAACUCAAAUGAAUUGACGGGGGCCCGCACAAGCGGUGGAGCAUGUGGUUUAAUUCGAUGCAACGCGAAGAACCUUACCUACUCUUGACAUCCACGGAACUUAGCAGAGAUGCUUUGGUGCCUUCGGGAACCGUGAGACAGGUGCUGCAUGGCUGUCGUCAGCUCGUGUUGUGAAAUGUUGGGUUAAGUCCCGCAACGAGCGCAACCCUUAUCCUUUGUUGCCAGCGGUUAGGCCGGGAACUCAAAGGAGACUGCCAGUGAUAAACUGGAGGAAGGUGGGGAUGACGUCAAGUCAUCAUGGCCCUUACGAGUAGGGCUACACACGUGCUACAAUGGCGCAUACAAAGAGAAGCGACCUCGCGAGAGCAAGCGGACCUCAUAAAGUGCGUCGUAGUCCGGAUUGGAGUCUGC
Molecule: ribosomal RNA, 531 nt
Filed under: uncultured bacterium
Lineage: Bacteria
Description: bacterial SSU rRNA
Rfam family: Bacterial small subunit ribosomal RNA
Source: RNAcentral